AUGCGGCGCCGGCGCUCUCCUCUGGCGGCGCUGUGGCUCGCGGCGGCGUGGGCUCUGCAGCUGCUCGCGGGCGCCGGGGCCGCGAACCCGACGUGGUGCAUCGUGCGCACCGGGGCGCCGGUGAGGACGGUGCAGGCGGCGCUGGACUACGCGUGCAGCCCCGCGGGCGGCGCCGACUGCGCGCCCAUCCAGCCCAGCGCCCUCUGCUACCUCCCCAACACCCUCGCCGCGCACGCCUCCUACGCCUUCAACUCCGUCUACCAGCGCUCCCACGCCGCCCCCGGCGCCUGCGACUUCGCCGGCACCGCCACCGUCACGCUCACCGACCCCAGUUAUGGAUCAUGCACCUUCCCUGCAUCUCCAGGCGCAGCUGGGUCACCCGGUUCAGCCACGUCUACAUCUCGACCACCGCCGGGCAACCGCAAGCCUGACCUUGGAUCAGACGACGACGAUUCCGAUGCCGAUGAGGCUCACGUUGCCACCGCCAAUGCACCCUUGAUGUCUCUUGCCCUGUCAUGUUUCGUGUACCUGCACCUGCGUUGGUGGUGA
RNAcentral lists this ribosomal RNA (549 nucleotides) under Triticum aestivum (bread wheat). RNAcentral's name for it is "partial small subunit ribosomal RNA". The record is from RNAcentral. Lineage: Eukaryota; Viridiplantae; Streptophyta; Magnoliopsida; Poales; Poaceae.